GUUAAGCGACUAAGCGUACACGGUGGAUGCCCUGGCAGUCAGAGGCGAUGAAGGACGUGCUAAUCUGCGAUAAGCGUCGGUGAGGUGAUAUGAACCGUUAUAACCGGCGAUUUCCGAAUGGGGAAACCCAGUGUGUUUCGACACACUAUCAUUAACUGAAUCCAUAGGUUAAUGAGGCGAACCGGGGGAACUGAAACAUCUAAGUACCCCGAGGAAAAGAAAUCAACCGAGAUUCCCCCAGUAGCGGCGAGCGAACGGGGAGGAGCCCAGAGUCUGAAUCAGUGUGUGUGUUAGUGGAAGCGUCUGGAAAGGCGCGCGAUACAGGGUGACAGCCCCGUACACAAAAAUGCACAUAUUGUGAGCUCGAUGAGUAGGGCGGGACACGUGGUAUCCUGUCUGAAUAUGGGGGGACCAUCCUCCAAGGCUAAAUACUCCUGACUGACCGAUAGUGAACCAGUACCGUGAGGGAAAGGCGAAAAGAACCCCGGCGAGGGGAGUGAAAAAGAACCUGAAACCGUGUACGUACAAGCAGUGGGAGCCUCUUAAUGGGGUGACUGCGUACCUUUUGUAUAAUGGGUCAGCGACUUAUAUUCUGUAGCAAGGUUAACCGAAUAGGGGAGCCGAAGGGAAACCGAGUCUUAACUGGGCGUUAAGUUGCAGGGUAUAGACCCGAAACCCGGUGAUCUAGCCAUGGGCAGGUUGAAGGUUGGGUAACACUAACUGGAGGACCGAACCGACUAAUGUUGAAAAAUUAGCGGAUGACUUGUGGCUGGGGGUGAAAGGCCAAUCAAACCGGGAGAUAGCUGGUUCUCCCCGAAAGCUAUUUAGGUAGCGCCUCGUGAAUUCAUCUCCGGGGGUAGAGCACUGUUUCGGCAAGGGGGUCAUCCCGACUUACCAACCCGAUGCAAACUGCGAAUACCGGAGAAUGUUAUCACGGGAGACACACGGCGGGUGCUAACGUCCGUCGUGAAGAGGGAAACAACCCAGACCGCCAGCUAAGGUCCCAAAGUCAUGGUUAAGUGGGAAACGAUGUGGGAAGGCCCAGACAGCCAGGAUGUUGGCUUAGAAGCAGCCAUCAUUUAAAGAAAGCGUAAUAGCUCACUGGUCGAGUCGGCCUGCGCGGAAGAUGUAACGGGGCUAAACCAUGCACCGAAGCUGCGGCAGCGACACUAUGUGUUGUUGGGUAGGGGAGCGUUCUGUAAGCCUGUGAAGGUGUGCUGUGAGGCAUGCUGGAGGUAUCAGAAGUGCGAAUGCUGACAUAAGUAACGAUAAAGCGGGUGAAAAGCCCGCUCGCCGGAAGACCAAGGGUUCCUGUCCAACGUUAAUCGGGGCAGGGUGAGUCGACCCCUAAGGCGAGGCCGAAAGGCGUAGUCGAUGGGAAACAGGUUAAUAUUCCUGUACUUGGUGUUACUGCGAAGGGGGGACGGAGAAGGCUAUGUUGGCCGGGCGACGGUUGUCCCGGUUUAAGCGUGUAGGCUGGUUUUCCAGGCAAAUCCGGAAAACCAAGGCUGAGGCGUGAUGACGAGGCACUACGGUGCUGAAGCGACAAAUGCCCUGCUUCCAGGAAAAGCCUCUAAGCAUCAGGUAACAUCAAAUCGUACCCCAAACCGACACAGGUGGUCAGGUAGAGAAUACCAAGGCGCUUGAGAGAACUCGGGUGAAGGAACUAGGCAAAAUGGUGCCGUAACUUCGGGAGAAGGCACGCUGAUAUGUAGGUGAAGCGACUUGCUCGUGGAGCUGAAAUCAGUCGAAGAUACCAGCUGGCUGCAACUGUUUAUUAAAAACACAGCACUGUGCAAACACGAAAGUGGACGUAUACGGUGUGACGCCUGCCCGGUGCCGGAAGGUUAAUUGAUGGGGUUAGCGGUAACGCGAAGCUCUUGAUCGAAGCCCCGGUAAACGGCGGCCGUAACUAUAACGGUCCUAAGGUAGCGAAAUUCCUUGUCGGGUAAGUUCCGACCUGCACGAAUGGCGUAAUGAUGGCCAGGCUGUCUCCACCCGAGACUCAGUGAAAUUGAACUCGCUGUGAAGAUGCAGUGUACCCGCGGCAAGACGGAAAGACCCCGUGAACCUUUACUAUAGCUUGACACUGAACAUUGAGCCUUGAUGUGUAGGAUAGGUGGGAGGCUUUGAAGUGUGGACGCCAGUCUGCAUGGAGCCGACCUUGAAAUACCACCCUUUAAUGUUUGAUGUUCUAACGUGGGCCCCUAAUCGGGGUUGCGGACAGUGUCUGGUGGGUAGUUUGACUGGGGCGGUCUCCUCCUAAAGAGUAACGGAGGAGCACGAAGGUUGGCUAAUCCUGGUCGGACAUCAGGAGGUUAGUGCAAUGGCAUAAGCCAGCUUGACUGCGAGCGUGACGGCGCGAGCAGGUGCGAAAGCAGGUCAUAGUGAUCCGGUGGUUCUGAAUGGAAGGGCCAUCGCUCAACGGAUAAAAGGUACUCCGGGGAUAACAGGCUGAUACCGCCCAAGAGUUCAUAUCGACGGCGGUGUUUGGCACCUCGAUGUCGGCUCAUCACAUCCUGGGGCUGAAGUAGGUCCCAAGGGUAUGGCUGUUCGCCAUUUAAAGUGGUACGCGAGCUGGGUUUAGAACGUCGUGAGACAGUUCGGUCCCUAUCUGCCGUGGGCGCUGGAGAACUGAGGGGGGCUGCUCCUAGUACGAGAGGACCGGAGUGGACGCAUCACUGGUGUUCGGGUUGUCAUGCCAAUGGCACUGCCCGGUAGCUAAAUGCGGAAGAGAUAAGUGCUGAAAGCAUCUAAGCACGAAACUUGCCCCGAGAUGAGUUCUCCCUGACUCCUUGAGAGUCCUGAAGGAACGUUGAAGACGACGACGUUGAUAGGCCGGGUGUGUAAGCGCAGCGAUGCGUUGAGCUAACCGGUACUAAUGAACCGUGAGGCUUAACCUUACAACGCCGAAG
RNAcentral lists this ribosomal RNA (2915 nucleotides) under Escherichia coli. RNAcentral describes it as "partial 23S ribosomal RNA". It matches the Rfam family "Bacterial large subunit ribosomal RNA". The record is from RNAcentral. Lineage: Bacteria; Pseudomonadati; Pseudomonadota; Gammaproteobacteria; Enterobacterales; Enterobacteriaceae.